GCCAAAAACCUAGCCCAGCUAAAUAUGUAUUUAACUAAACUAUUUUAACCUCACCUAAUAAAACAUUCUAAUAUUUAAGUAAAGGAGAUUGAAAAAUUCAUUGGAGCUAUAAUGAAAGUACCGAAAGGGAAAGAUGAAAUAUAUAAUGAAAAAUUUUUAAGCAAUAAAAAGUAAAGACCACCCCUUGUACCUUUUGCAUCAUGGUUUAACUAGUUUAAUCAAGCAAGACGUAUUUUAGUUUGACUUCCCGAAACUAAGUGAGCUACUUCAGGGCAGCUAAAAGAGCAAACCCGUCUCUGUAGCAAAAGAGUGGGAUGACCCUCAAGUAGCGGUGAUAGACCUAACGAACUUAGUGAUAGCUGGUUACUCAAGAAACGGAUAUAAGUCCAACCUGAAACCCCUGUUAUAGUACACCAAAACAACUACCUGGAUUUCAUAGUAAUUCAAAUAAGGUACAGCCUAUUUGAAACAGGAUACAACCUAAACUAAUGGAUAAGAUUAACUUUAUAUACAACCAAGUGGGCCUAAAAGCAGCCAUCUUUAAAAUAGCGUCAAAGCUUAAUUGUUCUAAUGCCUAAUUACCCAAUUCUUAUCUUAAUCCUUUAUUAAUACUGAGUAAUUCUAUAUUAUUAUAGAAAAUUUUAUGUUAAAACUAGUAACAAGAAGAAGACUCUUCUCUUCAAUGUAAAUGUAAAUCAGAAAGGACAAGCCACUGAUACUUGACGUCACUGAACCAAAAGUAGAAACCAACCAAGAAAAUUCUACUUCCACCAACGUUAACCUAACACAAGAGCAUUCAAAGAAAGAUUAAAAGAAAAAGAAGGAACUCGGCAAAUAUUAACCUCGCCUGUUUACCAAAAACAUCGCCUCUUGAGUCCAUAUAAGAGGUCCAGCCUGCCCAGUGACCAUGUUCAACGGCCGCGGUAUCCUAACCGUGCGAAGGUAGCGUAAUCACUUGUUCUUUAAAUGAGGACUAGUAUGAAUGGCACCACGAAGGUUAUACUGUCUCCUUUUUUCAAUCAGUGAAACUAAUCUCCCCGUGAAGAAGCGGGGAUAAAACUAUAAGACGAGAAGACCCUAUGGAGCUUUAAACAAUAUAGCACUUGCCAUACAACAUAAAAAUUUCUGAAACUUCAAAUCUACACGGCAACUUGACUAUAAGUUUUUGGUUGGGGUGACCGCGGAGCAUAGCACAACCUCCAUGUUGAAAGAAUUUUCUAAGCUAAGACCCACUAGUCCAAGCAUCAAUAUACUGACAUCCAUUGACCCAAUAUAUUUGAACAACGAACCAAGUUACCCUAGGGAUAACAGCGCAAUCCACUUCAAGAGCUCCUAUCGACAAGUGGGUUUACGACCUCGAUGUUGGAUCAGGGUAUCCCAGUGGUGCAGCCGCUACUAAAGGUUCGUUGUUCAACGAUAAAA
RNAcentral lists this ribosomal RNA (1422 nucleotides) under Incilius tacanensis (Volcan Tacana toad). Its description in RNAcentral is "partial 16S ribosomal RNA". It matches the Rfam family "Bacterial large subunit ribosomal RNA", at positions 130 to 2592 of the family's 2925-position model. Lineage: Eukaryota; Metazoa; Chordata; Amphibia; Anura; Bufonidae. The record is from RNAcentral.